Tupaia belangeri chinensis (Chinese tree shrew) is the source of this 868-nucleotide long non-coding RNA. RefSeq lists it as uncharacterized. The record is from RefSeq and is a predicted model, not a curated record. NCBI's taxonomy places the organism in Eukaryota, Metazoa, Chordata, Mammalia, Scandentia, Tupaiidae. The transcript is spliced from 3 exons.
UGGGGUCCGGCGGGAGGGUCGCCGCAGGGCGGGCGAGGUGGCAGCUCCGCUCUCCACGCCCCGGCUGAAAGGCCUGGGCCCGCGUCUGCAGCGUCAGGCUGCCCUCUGCGGGAACCCGGGGUCUCCACGUGUGGCCUUCACCCGGUGCCUGCCAGGCUCAGGGUUCAGGCCUCAGAAAACGACCGGAGUGACAGUGCCAUGUCGACUGUGCCCGUCAAGCUGUUCAUCCGUCCACCCUAGCGAUGCGCUUCAUUCUUACUGUGAAUCACGGUGGCCUUCUCUGCUGCCCAGCUGUGCGCAGUGUGGGUUUCUAGAAGCAGUGUCAUGCAUUAGUGUGGACAACCCUGGCCUGACAUACCGAAGUGUGUUAGUGAUGCCGGAGUUUGGAGUGACCACGCCAACACCAGUGCGGAAUUCAGCGGCAAGCUGACCAGGUUCUUGUCUCACUCAAGAAGAAUUAAUGGACAAAGGAGUCGCAAAGCAGGAGUUUUAUUAAGGACAGAGAGGGGGUCCCAUAGUGGGUUGUUGCUGAGGGGCUAAGUUUCAUGCCUUUUAUCCUUGUUAGGAGGAGGAACAGACCUUUUUGUGUUUUUUUUUCUCCAAAGGUAUUGUCUCAUCAGAGAACUGAAGGACAAGGCAACAGGCUGCGAGAACUAGGCGCUGUAGACAGAAUGGACCAGCGUCGAGGAAGGCAGAAGGCCACAGGGGUUGUUGAUAGAGGUGUGGUUGUCGCUGGCAUGUCUAGAAAGGAAACACUACAGUGAUUCUUCAUGGAGACCAGCGCCAUAGACUUAUAGUGACAAGAAACUAUCUCUUGGACCUCUUCAUCUCUUGAAUCAGGCCCUAGUGACUUAGGUGGAAAUGGAAG